Molecule: unclassified non-coding RNA, 639 nt
Filed under: Hevea brasiliensis (rubber tree)
Lineage: Eukaryota; Viridiplantae; Streptophyta; Magnoliopsida; Malpighiales; Euphorbiaceae
Source: RNAcentral
AGAAAAUCAAAUAUACUGGAACAAUUGCAAGAGCAAUUAAUUACAAAGGACAUGACACGCUCAUUGUUAAUGUGAGUAGAGGACUAUAUCUAACAGGUAUAACAUGAGCUGAUGAGCACAUAAACUGAAAAGUUAUCAUCAUCUCAAACUUCUAGAAAUGUGAUGUGGAGCUAGUAAAAAAGUGGAAAUACUUCUACCACAAUGAAGCAAUUUCAUAAAAAGGAAAAACAAAUUUUUUUUAACGAAGUCUUCAAGGCAUAAGUGCCCACUUGCACAGCAGGAUACAAGCUGCAGUUUAGAUCACUGCUAUGAACUUGUUUAACCAGGGGCAGGGUUUGUUCAUAGAUGCAACAGUUGUAUAAUUGAUAUGCACUCUAUACACAUUUAUAUUCAAAUCUCUUGCACAUCCCAAAAGACCUCCACUUCACGUCUCCACCAACUUGCAAAACUUCUUUGUUUCCUCUACUAUUUGAAAAUAAGUAGCCAAUUUCAGUUUCCUCUCAUUUGGCAUAUUAUGUGAAACAGUUUAGUUGGGAAAAAAGAGGAAAUAAAGCCUUAAAAGUUUUGUUCUGCUACAUCAAUUAAUAUUCAUAACUCAUUAUUCAAGCCAGCAUAUGCUACCAUAGACUUAUCUUUAUA